Molecule: ribosomal RNA, 276 nt
Filed under: uncultured bacterium
Lineage: Bacteria
Description: partial 16S ribosomal RNA
Rfam family: Bacterial small subunit ribosomal RNA
Source: RNAcentral
ACACGUGUUACAAUGGGGGGUACGAGAGGGACCGCUACCACGCGAGUGGAUGCCAAUCCCUAAAACCCCUCUCAGUUCGGACUGGAGUCUGCAACCCGACUCCACGAAGCUGGAUUCGCUAGUAAUCGCGCAUCAGCCACGGCGCGGUGAAUACGUUCCCGGGCCUUGUACACACCGCCCGUCAAGCCAUGGGAGCCGGGGGUACCUGAAGUGCGUAACCGCGAGGAUCGCCCUAGGGUAAAACUGGUGACUGGGGCUAAGUCGUAACAAGGUACC